UUGAGACACAUGGAAACCCUACGCAGAAAAUUCCCCAUCCACACAUCCUAGCUCCCAGCCGCCAGCCCACCGUCCUUCACCACAGCCGCCGCCGCCAGCCCACCCCUCCCCACCGUCCUCGCCCAUGGCAGCCUCCCCACCGCCGACCUCGCCCGCGGCCAACGCCCUCCUCUACAUCCUCCGCCCCGAAGGCCGAGGUCGUUCCCGUCUCUCGCCCUUGUGCGUGCGCAUUCGUCGUAGCCAAGCGUGAGGAGGGGUCGGGUCAGUUGCUUCUUCCCUUCUCGCUUCUCCCGUCCCCAUCGCCUCGCCGCGUCUCUCGCCUUGCCCCUUUCCAUGGUAAACUCAGGUGCAUUGCGAAACUAUUUCUGGAGGUCGUCGCUGCCGCAUUAGUCACCGGAUGGUGUUCCCCUGUUCCGUUGUAAGUGAAAAACACUACUUUUUCAGAGAGGCUAUCUCCCUACCUCUGGCCGGAAUCGAUAUUGGGUCUUCUGUUUACCUCCGAGACGAGUUCCCAAGAAAUCCUAUUUGUUUAUUGCCUUUUUGCAUUCUUUUGCAGUGUAUGGAUUUAUUCAUUUUUCAUGUUGCAAGAAAUGGCUUUGUUCUCUAUGCUAGCUCACAGUUUAGAUGCUACUGCUAGGUGUGCUAUUAGCAAUCACAUUGGUAGAUCACUGAAAAACUGAAAAGAUUAAUGUCACUGUAAUUUUCAUCCUUGCUAGGUGCUUCAGGAUAUGCAGUGUAUGCAUCUUGACUCUUUUUCCUUGCUAGGUGCUUCAGGACAUGCAGUGUAUGUAUGUGAAGAUGUACUCUUCUUCUUAGAUCACUGGAUGCUAUUUGCCCAGUACUGUUCGAGGCCCAAUUCAGAGUUACGUAAUAGGCUGACGGAUUUCCCUUAGAGAAAAAUAAACUAUCAUUUACUGCUUGGAUCACCACGUAUGACGGUGGCUGGCGUUCGUUUUUCUCUCAUCCCGCUCUUCCCUGGAUCCAACUCUCAAAGCACCAUGCUAAUUAAUUGCUAUUGCCGUUGGUCAUGAUUAUUGCUGCUAUUUUUUUCAUCUUCCUAUGGAUUUGUUUCCUCCUAUAAAUACUUCCCAUCCCAGUGCCAGUACGGUUAGAUGCAGAUUUACAUCAAUUUCCAAUUAGCCAAAGCAAAAUAUAAUCUGAUGGUUCAAGGUCUCAAAGAAUUCAUGUAUCUUUCACAUUCUUUCUUCUUUGGCCCUUGUACUGUGGUCUAUUGUUGGUUUUCCACUGAAUCACUAGUCUUUUUUCUACACAUACAAUGUGUUCUUGUGCAGGCGCUGCUUUCAGGAGACGGUUAGUCCGGAACAGACGAGUGAAGAUCAUUGCUGGAUAGUUUCAUAGUUCGAUUUCUACCGGUCUAACAGGUUCAUGUCCUCUGGCUAUCUUUCUGUAAGUAUAUUUCCUAAUAAGCAUCUCUGAAUUGUCUAGUUGUAAAGAAAAAAGGAUAUCACAUUGCAGGAGGCAUGAAACCAAGUGCCAGAUUAUACAGUUUCAUAUAUACUUUUCUGGUUUUAUUCAUAUAAAAUAUGGUGUGUCCACAAAUGGCACUACUGCAUGAGAUGCAUUAAUUCUGAAUAUGCAUGUCUAGGACAGUACUACUCCAGUAAUAAUAUAUGUGUCACAGUGAGCUGAGUUCCAACAUAUUCAGUCAAUGCUCUGUGCUGUCUAUGUAUUUAAAUUAGUGGCUGCUGCCAGGUAGUAUGUUGGUUUUAUGUGACUUUGUGCUGGCCGGCUAUAAUUUAACAUGGGCUGAUUUGGCAUCUACAUGUUGUUGUUCAUCAUUAAUUUCGUACAUGACUUUGUAGGACAUGACUUUGUAGGGGAACUACUGUGCAUCCGAAGGAGGAUAUCACUAGUCCACUUGCAGUUCAACUAAUGAUCGACCAUCUUAUGGUAUUUUAGAAAUAGUGAAAUGUGAAAUGGCAUGUGUGUCGAUGAUGCUGCUGAUCAUGAACCUAGGUAACAUAGAAAUGUGUGUAUUUAGUCGUCAUUGCUCUGUGCAAUGUGAUCGAUGAGAAUCAGAGUGGUGUCAUGUAUAUUUAGAAAUGUUAUUGCUUUUGAGCAAGUUCAUUACAACUUUUCAUAUGUAAUUUACUGGAUGUUGAAUGAUGGUUCAGUUGAUUUAUAUGUAUGUAAACAUUAAUUUUGGAUGCCUUUCCUAA
Non-coding RNA from Aegilops tauschii subsp. strangulata, 2180 nucleotides. The record is from RefSeq and is a predicted model, not a curated record. NCBI's taxonomy places the organism in Eukaryota, Viridiplantae, Streptophyta, Magnoliopsida, Poales, Poaceae.